AUUGAACGCUGGCGGCAUGCCUUACACAUGCAAGUCGAACGGCAGCACGGGAGCAAUCCUGGUGGCGAGUGGCGAACGGGUGAGUAAUAUAUCGGAACGUGCCCAGUCGUGGGGGGAUAACGUAGCGAAAGCUACGCUAAUACCGCAUACGAUCUAUGGAUGAAAGCGGGGGAUCGCAAGACCUCGCGCGAUUGGAGCGGCCGAUAUCAGAUUAGGUAGUUGGUGAGGUAAAGGCUCACCAAGCCGACGAUCUGUAGCUGGUCUGAGAGGACGACCAGCCACACUGGGACUGAGACACGGCCCAGACUCCUACGGGAGGCAGCAGUGGGGAAUUUUGGACAAUGGGCGCAAGCCUGAUCCAGCAAUGCCGCGUGCAGGAUGAAGGCCUUCGGGUUGUAAACUGCUUUGUACGGAACGAAACGGUGAGCUCUAAUACAGUUUGCUAAUGACGGUACCGUAAGAAUAAGCACCGGCUAACUACGUG
RNAcentral lists this ribosomal RNA (484 nucleotides) under uncultured bacterium. RNAcentral describes it as "bacterial SSU rRNA". It matches the Rfam family "Bacterial small subunit ribosomal RNA", at positions 30 to 507 of the family's 1533-position model. The record is from RNAcentral.